AGUUAUGUAGCUCAGUGGUAGAGCACUUACCUAGUAUGUGUGAGACACUGGGUUUGGUCCUCAGCAUCACAU
Ictidomys tridecemlineatus (thirteen-lined ground squirrel) is the source of this 72-nucleotide non-coding RNA. The record is from Rfam. NCBI's taxonomy places the organism in Eukaryota, Metazoa, Chordata, Mammalia, Rodentia, Sciuridae.